Molecule: long non-coding RNA, 858 nt
Organism: Pseudoliparis swirei
Lineage: Eukaryota; Metazoa; Chordata; Actinopteri; Perciformes; Liparidae
Exons: 4
Source: RefSeq, a predicted model, not a curated record
CUGCUCUCCUGCUUCAGUGACUCACUAAAAGCCACAGAAAGAACGACAGCCUCCUGACAUGGCAUCUCUUCUUGAGACAUUGUAAUCCAACUUGGAUGGAACAACUUCGUGACCUUAAUGACACCCAGCAACACGAGACACACAAGCACCACAGGGGAGGAUCUGCAGCAAAGGGCCCACCGGAAAUCAAACCUUGGCCGCUAUGAUGACGACAACAUGGGGCACUUAAGUGUGAAUCUAGCCUUUUCAUUUUUAUUUACAACAUUAGCAUUGAAAAGAGCAAAAGUUGAUGCUUGAGAUGAUUUUGUUUUUACUGAAGAGGAUGUAUGUCCUCCCCUUGUCCUUUAUCCCCUUACUCUUUCUUUUUAGGUGUGAUUACGACUACCAGCAUGAACCUCAACACCUUCUUUGCUGUUCCACUAGUGUGACCCAUGAUCGGAUCCAAGUUGUCAAGGAUAAACGGGAAGAGAAUCAUGUCCGCCCACAGACAACCGGUUGACCUGUAAGUCUUCAAGCAGUAAUGAUGACUACGCCUUAAGUUCCAGUUUCCUGAACAUCAUGUCGGCAUGAGAUUCUGUCCCCACCUGUCUUCAGUCUGGACCCAAUGAGUUGUUUUUUUACAGGGGGUUUCAGUCACAUGGUUUAUUUCGAGGCUUUGUCUGAGUUUCAGUGCUGCAGUUAUUUACCAUUCAGGUGUGUUCAGAAAAAUCCAAUUUGUCAUACUCAUUUGAAGGGCUUGCUGCAGUGAUUCUUUUGUGUACACCAGGAUUUCUUUGUAUUUUGGCAUUUUACACAAAUGUUUUUGAAAGAUGGUCAACAAAGUUGCACAAAUAAAUGUUUACAUGCUGCUUUCCUAAA